This is a long non-coding RNA of Acyrthosiphon pisum (pea aphid), 632 nucleotides long. RefSeq lists it as uncharacterized. The transcript is spliced from 4 exons. The record is from RefSeq and is a predicted model, not a curated record. NCBI's taxonomy places the organism in Eukaryota, Metazoa, Arthropoda, Insecta, Hemiptera, Aphididae.
AAGUGUUGUAUAAAAAUGUAUUUGGAGUGGUACGUAAAAUACUAGGUACCUAGUUGUGUUUGUCUGUGCUCAUGCAGUAUUCACUCAAACCAUACCUAUAUUCUCCAUUAAUUGUUAAAAGAACAUAAAUCAUUUGACUAUUUGGAGUAAAGAAACUAAUAAUAGCAAUAAUGAUUGGAUUUAAGAAAACAUGGCUUUACGUUAUUUUCGUAGUAGCAAUAAUGUUUGUAUCAUCGUCGUAUGGGAUGAGUAUAUUCCAAGCCCAUACGUCGAUGAAUAUGAUCAAAGGAUUGAUCGAUAAUUUCAAUUUGCUUGUAGAAUCACACAAAAAUAAAUCAGCAUCCGUAUAAAAAUUUAUAAAAUAAUAAGGUUAAAUAAAAUAUUUUCUAGUUAGAUAAUAAUUAUAUUAUCUACAUAUUAUAUUAUGUCCCACGUCAUAAGGGAUUUAAUUAAAUAUUUAGGUAUGUACCUACUAAAUGUUUACACAUUUAUAGAUUUAAUUACAAUUCAAUCAAAUAAAUUGGUGAAAUAGAAAAGUAAAUUCAACACAACAAUAUUAAUAUUCUAUAAUUUAAUUGUAAGAAAUAUUGAUUUACCCAAAAAUAAACAUGAUUAAUAAUUAUCGCCGAAUA